This 72-nucleotide transfer RNA is filed under the name Sediminibacterium sp. RNAcentral describes it as "tRNA-Ser". It matches the Rfam family "tRNA". From Rfam's summary of the family: Transfer RNA (tRNA) molecules are approximately 80 nucleotides in length. Their secondary structure includes four short double-helical elements and three loops (D, anti-codon, and T loops). The record is from RNAcentral. Lineage: Bacteria; Pseudomonadati; Bacteroidota; Chitinophagia; Chitinophagales; Chitinophagaceae.
GGCUCGGUAGUUCAACGGAUAGAACAGCGCCCCGCUAAGGUGUAAAUAUCAGUUCAAAUCUGAUCCGGGCCA